GGGGAAGAGGCGCUGUUGGCCGCGCUCGCCCUCCUGCGCAGCCCGGGCGGACGGGACCGUGUCUGCAGGUUUCUGGCGAACCUGUGCUGAAUGACAAGACGAUCUAGCGCCUCGUGUAGCUAACUAGGUCACUGUCAGCACUUAAUUACUGUUUGUUUCAUUUUAGUGCGUGCCUUAUGAAUAAACCGGCUAUUAGGCUGAUGCUUCAAGUAACUCUAUCCAGCACCAAGGCUCCUCUGUUCAGAUAGCAGAAGCAAGACAAAGCAUCGUCCUUUUUGUGCGCACUGAUUUAAGAAGUCCAACACACCUGAAACCAAGGCAAUUAGGUGAUUCUGCUGUUUCCUGCCUUAUUUUUUUUUCCUUUAUAAGGAAAAGAGGAGAGAGAGGUGUUGUGUCUUCUACUAGAUUUUUUCUCUAGUUCAAUUUGCCCAGUUGCCACAGGCAUUUUAACGGGGGUGCACCUGGCUGAAUAGUUAACUAUGCUUUUUAUUUCUUUUUCAGGGCAGGUGGGGUACAACUGUCAUCUUGUGGUAUUUACAAGAAAACAGAAAUAGAAAACUAACUUUCAUUUUACAUGUAGCAUGUCCUUGUGGGAUGGACAUAGACUAUACAGAAAUUAGGUAGAAAAAGCAUUUUGGCUAUGGAAACCUGCCCUGUUAUGUUUUCCUUCUCUUGCCAGCUUUCAGCCUGUGUACCACAGAACGUUGCACUGUUACUGAAGACCUAAAAUUUGAAGUCUGUGGUCCUCAGAGUUGAGGGAAGUUGAGCCUAAAGAGAAGCUGCCAUGUUUGCUGGAUGUGUUAAAGACUGGGAUUUAUAAGUAAGUUUCUCUUCUCAGUCAUUAAGAAACACAAGAAAGGAACAUGGAACAUCUGUAUGUACAUUUCUAUAUUUAUACGUUUCUAUUUUUUCUAUCUAUUUUCUAGGCAUAAGUUUUAAGACAUAUACAUAUAUGAAAUGAGUUUCACAUCUAAAACAGUGCAAAUGUAGGAUGUUGCUGGAGUGGCUGUCCUUCCCCUACCUCUUCAUACAGAUGAGACAAAAGACCCAUACCACAGGCUUGAGUUUGGUAAGAUUACUGU
This 1082-nucleotide long non-coding RNA is filed under the name Struthio camelus australis. RNAcentral's name for it is "lncRNA (ENSSCUG00000016136.1)". Lineage: Eukaryota; Metazoa; Chordata; Aves; Struthioniformes; Struthionidae. The record is from RNAcentral.